GCUGGGUGUGGUGGUGGGCACCUGUAAUUCCAGCUACUUGGGAAGCUAAGGCGGGAGAAUCGCUUGAACCCGGGAGGCAGGGAUUGCAGUGAGCUGAGAUCGUGUCACUGCACUCCAGCCUGGGUGAUAGAGCGAGACUCUGUCUCAA
This 148-nucleotide non-coding RNA is filed under the name Theropithecus gelada (gelada). Lineage: Eukaryota; Metazoa; Chordata; Mammalia; Primates; Cercopithecidae. The record is from Rfam by way of RNAcentral.